GACGAACGCUGGCGGCGUGCUUAACACAUGCAAGUCGAACGGAAAGGCCCUGCUUGUUUGCUGUUCUCGAGUGGCGAACGGGUGCGGAACACGUGAGUAACCUGACCUAGAUUUUGGUAUAACUUCAGGAAACUGGGCCUAAUAUCGGAUAGGAUCUCCUCUUCCAGUGUGAGCGUGGGAACUUUUCGGCUGGCGUGACUGGAUGGGCGGCUGAUCGGCUAGUUGGUUGGGUAGGGGCUUACCAACCCUUUGACGGGUAGGCGGCCUGAGAGGGUGACCGGCCACAUUGGGACUGAGGUACGGCGCAGACUCGUACGGGAGGCAGCGGUCGCGAGUAUUGCACAACGGGCGGGAGUGUGUUGAAGAAACGCCGCGUGCGGGAUGACGGCCUUCGGGUUGUAAACAGCAUUCGCCUGUGACGAAGCGUGAGUGACGGUACUCGGUAAAGAAGCACCGGCUAACUACGUG
Molecule: ribosomal RNA, 468 nt
Filed under: uncultured bacterium
Lineage: Bacteria
Description: partial 16S ribosomal RNA
Rfam family: Bacterial small subunit ribosomal RNA
Source: RNAcentral